GACGAACGCUGGCGGCGUGCUUAACACAUGCAAGUCGAACGGACUGUUCCCAGCUUGCUGGGGAUGGUCAGUGGCGAACGGGUGAGUAACACGUGAGCAACCUGCCCCCGACUCUGGGAGUAGCCUCGGGAAACCGGGGAUUAAUACCGGAUAUGACAUCAGCGCGCAUGCGGUGGUGUGGAAAGUUUUUUCGGUCGGGGAUGGGCUCGCGGCCUAUCAGCUUGUUGGUGGGGUGANGGCCUACCAAGGCGACGACGGGUAGCCGGCCUGAGAGGGCGACCGGCCACACUGGGACUGAGACACGGCCCAGACUCCUACGGGAGGCAGCAGUGGGGAAUAUUGCGCAAUGGGCGAAAGCCUGACGCAGCGACG
Molecule: ribosomal RNA, 372 nt
Filed under: uncultured bacterium
Lineage: Bacteria
Description: bacterial SSU rRNA
Rfam family: Bacterial small subunit ribosomal RNA
Source: RNAcentral